This 500-nucleotide ribosomal RNA is filed under the name uncultured bacterium. RNAcentral describes it as "partial 16S ribosomal RNA". It matches the Rfam family "Bacterial small subunit ribosomal RNA", at positions 28 to 523 of the family's 1533-position model. The record is from RNAcentral.
AUUGAACGCUGGCGGCAUGCCUUACACAUGCAAGUCGAACGGUAGAGGGGGGCAACCCCUUCGAGAGUGGCGAACGGGUGAGUAAUGCAUCGGAACGUGCCCAGUCGUGGGGGAUAGCCCGGGGAAACCCGGAUUAAUACCGCAUACGACCUGAGGGUGAAAGCGGGGGACUCGCAAGGGCCUCGCGCGAUUGGAGCGGCCGAUGUCGGGUUAGGUAGUUGGUGGGGUACAGGCCUACCAAGCCUGCGAUCCGUAGCUGGUCUGAGAGGACGACCAGCCACACUGGGACUGAGACACGGCCCAGACUCCUACGGGAGGCAGCAGUGGGUAAUUUUGGACAAUGGGGGCAACCCUGAUCCAGCCAUGCCGCGUGCGGGAAGAAGGCCUUCGGGUUGUAAACCGCUUUUGUCAGGGAAGAAAUGUCCUGGGCUAAUACCCUGGGGGGAUGACGGUACCUGAAGAAUAAGCACCGGCUAACUACGUGCCAGCCGCCGCGGUAA